GAACAAAAAAAGCAAAUAAACAAGCAGAAACGAGAAUGAAAAGAGGGAGAGAGGCGACGCAUUUAUGUCGCCUUUCCUCUCUGCAUGCCUUCUUCCUUCCUUCCAUCUCCCUUCUACUUCCUUUGUACACGUGUUGUUUGUCUAUUUGAGUCUGCAUAUUUGUUUCCUUUAAAUUAGACGAAGGAAUGUCUG
RNAcentral lists this non-coding RNA (192 nucleotides) under Chromera velia. The record is from RNAcentral. Lineage: Eukaryota; Chromeraceae.